Long non-coding RNA from Galeopterus variegatus (Sunda flying lemur), 3529 nucleotides. RefSeq lists it as uncharacterized. The transcript has 4 exons. The record is from RefSeq and is a predicted model, not a curated record. NCBI's taxonomy places the organism in Eukaryota, Metazoa, Chordata, Mammalia, Dermoptera, Cynocephalidae.
UUCUCUCUCCCCUUCCUUCCUCUCCCCCUCUCCCUUCCCUCUCCCUCCCUCCCUCCUCUGAAUAAGCAGGCUUUUGCCUCUAAAAGUCACAAGUAAUCCUCGUGUGUGACAGAGGGGGGGGGGGAGCCUGCCGAGAGGAGCGGAAGGCAGGAGAAGAAUCUGGCACAACGUCUGGGAGAGAAACUUGAUGCUUCUGGGCCACCAUUUGCAAGGGAAUCGCUCGAGACGCCGAGAGGAGCCUGUUUGUGUGCUGCGGCCGCUCUGUGACUCUGGAUCUUGUCUUCUGGCCGGCGCCUCGACUCCUGCUCAGCUGGAUUUGGGGAGCAACACUGCCUGGCGUAGGGAGAUCAAAUGAGACUGCAAAGAAGCAUAAUAUGAAUAGACAAUCCAACCAACCAAAGACCGGGGGCAGCAGCACGCCAGCAAGACGGCAUCUUCUCCUCCCCAGCCUAGAAGCCCUGUGAAAUCGAGGAUCUUCCCCCUAAAACACACACACACAAGAUAUGUGCAAUCAAGCUGCCACCUCUUGGUAGAAAGCUCACGGUGCCUAACCCCAAAGGAUCGGGAGCAGAUACUUGAAUCAGCUGUCACUUCUAUAGAAUGGGAUUUUUUUGUUUGUUUUUAUUUUUUUCCUUCCUCCUUAACCUGCACUGGAAAUUGCCGUUGGCUUUAUACAUCUCUGUAGAGGGAGGCUAAAGAGUCUUGCGUGAGAAUGAAGCAAUUUACAAUGCAAAUAGAGGCCUGUGAAGGGAUGGAUGCUGCUGCUCACUCCCAACAGCUUGCUGCACCUUAAUAGCUGGUUUUAUUUUCUGAUAUUAAUAGAUGAAUUGUUGGCUAACGCUGCCGGAGAUUACUUGCUGAAAGGAAAAAAAAGUUCGGAAUAAACUCUGAAGGCAACAGAUCUCGUUUGGAUGUUUUAGACGCACACACACAAACAGAAACAAGGUCAUAUUUACAUAAACAAGGAAUCUUAAGCGCGGCAAGUAUCCUGGACAACUACUCUUCGGUGCUGCCAGAAAGGAUCCGGAUCUGAAGUCUGGCAAGAGGAAGACAGAGGUGUGUGAGGGAAGCGAGUUGUUAUCUUUGGUUAUCUAGCUGUAUGAGUGUAUUGGUCUUCAUAAAGCUAGAUAACCGAAAGUAAAAACUCCUUCAAGAUCGCCGGGGAGCGUGUGAGCAUGAAAGACUACAACCAAGAGACAGUAAAAACCAGAAAGGUCAGGAAUACUUAUUGAAUCUAACUUUGUUUUUUUUUUUUUUUUCUUAUGAUUAAAGGUGGGAUGAGAGGAAAUUAAGUGACACACAUAGGCUAAAAUAUAAAGGUGCCAGAUAUUUUGAGAGGGAUUGUUAUAGGUGCAAAAGAGAAUUGUAUAAUGCUAAUGAAUGAAGGUGCAUGUGCAGUUUGUUCUGUUUUAAGGCAAAAGUUUAUAUACGAGGGAUAUUUUUUUCUUAGAAAGCUGUCCUAGAGAUGUCUGGUGCCUGGUUUAAAAAUGAUUCCAUAAUAUGUAGACUUGGGCAGUUCCCUUCUGAGGCCCCUCCCCUCACCCCAAAUUUGAGGAUUGUGCUUGGAAACUACUUUACAUGUAUUUGGGCUGUAUGUCAAAUUAUAUGAAAUUGGACUUUCAGAGAAGUUUAUACUGGGAGGUUAGUAAUUUAUAUCUACUGAGGACUUAGAGCUAGCAAGGAAAAUGAAAAAAAAAAAAAAAAAAAAAAAAGGCUGAUUUUUAUUCUUCUAUUGAAAAUACAAGGACAGAUGCUUCUCUGUUCCAAGAGGGUUUCCUUGAGGAAGCUACUGAAGCAGAAAGACAUGAUGGAGACGAGAUCGCCUCCCCUCUUGUCAAAGUGUUAAAAAAAUGUUCUGUCUUACUCUGCGCCUAGCAUUGGAAAUGAAAGUGACAUUUACGCCACAACCCACGUGUGCGCCUCCUCUCUUUUUGUUUAAGGAUGAUCAGGUCUAUCCAGGAAACAGCUCUGGCAUCCCAAACUGAAAUAAUUAGGACGUAUAUAGACCUGACAAAAAUGGAAAGGGGGUGGGGAAUCUGAGGGUCUGUCUUGCCUAAUUGAUUCCGCUAAACGAAAUGCAGGAGAUGUGAACGGCAGGACGCUCCGAUUCCCACGCUCGGGGGCAAGUGGUAAAGCGGGGCCGGGCAGCCUAUGACAGACAGCCCUGUUGGGGGGUGGGGGUAUGAAAAAAAACAUCAAGUGCACACACCAUACUCAUCUCCAUCGCUUAAGAAAGUAAAGGCAUUUCCCACCCACAGCCAUCUGCAGCCUCCCAAAUGGCAACACCAACUGGUCUGUAGCUGCUGCAUACUGUCUGUUUCUGUUACUUUUUUAACAGCUGUUUAAUCUGGCCAUAAUUAAGUUUGGCUUUCUUCUUUGGCUGAGAUUUUCAAUAUUGGAGGAAAGCUAGUAGAAAGUCCCAUUACUGCCUGCACCUCAUGUCAAAUUCUGUCUGUACUUAUGGCCUGUGACCACCUUUUGGCUUUUGUUUUGGUUGUAUUAUAUUUUCAAAUACAUAUCUCUAUAUAACAGUCAUUUUUAUGACUUCAUCAGGCUGUUUACUUCUAACAGGUAGGAACGUGGCCUAAUUAUGCUAGUAGAUACACACUGGAAGUAAAACUAUAAAGUCAUUAACCUAUAGAGAUUUGAUUAAUAUAACAAUGUGAUUGAAAGAUUGUUUUGGAAUAGUGUCAGCUAGAUGCAUUCUAAACGGCCGUUUCUAUUAAUCUAAAAAUAGCUACGCCUAGCUGAAACUUAGAAACUUUGGAGGUUCCCAUUGUAAUCUUUUGUAAAAGUCCUUAUGUUUUUCCACAAGUCACUAAACAAACAUUUGUAUAGGUAUUUACAUAUAAAUACACCAUUGCAAUAAGAAAGUCCAAAAAUGGCCCGUUGUCUUCCAUGUGGCCUAGAUUACUGACAAUCCCAAACAUACAGUUUUUCUUCAAAAGCAGUACAUUUUCCUUUGUAGCUUCCAUUCCUUGUAGGACUGCAGACUGGAGAAGCCUGUAAAACCACUGUUAUUUUCAGUUAGAAACUCUGAGAGACUUUAUUAACGUAAAUUCUCAAUUUGGCUGCUGAACACGUGCCAAAGUUUUACUACCGUAGUGACCGUUGAGAAGACCCUUGUUUAUUUACAUUUGAAGCACUGUUUGUGCAAACAACCUUUCAUUGUUAAGUGCCUUUAUUCCUUUCAUUUAGUUCGUGUCCAGGGGUGCUAUUUACCUAGAACCAUUGUCUACUACAAUUAACAUUUACAUUACAAAGUGUGUGGUUUUCUUUCUCAAGGAGGUUCAAUUAAGGCAAUAAGAUGUUUGCUGGGGAAACCUAUUGUUUACUGAAAGCACUCAAUGGAGUCAAAUUACUGAAGCUUUUGCCUAGUCUUGGUCUUUUAUGUAAAUAUGUUAAAUAUAGCAUCUAAGGAAAAUAAACAAUAUUAUAAUUAUGUGUUUGCCAUUGUCAUAUCAAACUUGCUUUGUAUCAUACUAAUGUUACAUAACUUAUCGAUCAAUAAAAAUGCAUUUCAAUGUUA